Molecule: long non-coding RNA, 552 nt
Organism: Homo sapiens (human)
Lineage: Eukaryota; Metazoa; Chordata; Mammalia; Primates; Hominidae
Source: Ensembl
CAGUGUGAACAGAUGAAGCAGACAGGAAGGGGGAAAUGGCAAUGUAUACUGUGUGACAGGCACUAUGCUAAGCAUCUCAUCUUUACCGAAAGCAUUUAUGAAGGUUUUCUCUUUUAAAAAUGAGCCACCUGGGCCAUGAAGAAGUUAAGUGACUUGACCACAGUCACAACCUAACCCAUGUGGUAGCAUCAGGAUUUCAGUCCAGAUCUGACUCAGAACUCAUGCUCUUAACCACCAUGUGAUUUUAAGCUGGAUAACAUGGAAAUACGUUUAAAUAUAUAAGGAAUAUAUGUAAAGGUAAUAUACAUUACUUUUAAAUAAGACAUCAGGUCAGUGCUAACUCCUACAGUAUAGAUGUCCCAGGUUGAAUAAAAUAGUUUCCUAAAAUCUCUACAUUUAUAACAAUGACAUAGGACAGACAGGUGGCUGCAAGAUGUAUGGUGAAGCUUAUGUAUACCUUAGCUAUUAGGGCAAGAAGUAUACAUUUUAGUACUUGUACUAAAACUAACAUAUAAAUUAAUCUUGAUGUGGAAAAUAAAAGCAUUAUUGGUG